GUGUCAGCAGCCGCGGUAAUACAGAGGGUGCAAGCGUUGUUCGGAAUUAUUGGGCGUAAAGCGCGUGUAGGCGGCUUUGCAAGUCGGGUGUGAAAGCCCUCGGCUCAACCGAGGAAGUGCGCCCGAAACUGCAGAGCUUGAGUACCGGAGAGGAUGGCGGAAUUCCCCAAGUAGAGGUGAAAUUCGUAGAUAUGGGGAGGAACACCGGUGGCGAAGGCGGCCAUCUGGACGGAUACUGACGCUGAGACGCGAAAGCGUGGGUAGCAAACAGGAUUAGAUACCCUUGUAGUCC
This 292-nucleotide ribosomal RNA is filed under the name uncultured bacterium. RNAcentral's name for it is "partial 16S ribosomal RNA". It matches the Rfam family "Bacterial small subunit ribosomal RNA", at positions 505 to 796 of the family's 1533-position model. The record is from RNAcentral.